This 1858-nucleotide ribosomal RNA is filed under the name Klebsiella pneumoniae. Its description in RNAcentral is "partial 23S ribosomal RNA". It matches the Rfam family "Bacterial large subunit ribosomal RNA", at positions 1 to 1888 of the family's 2925-position model. The record is from RNAcentral. Lineage: Bacteria; Pseudomonadati; Pseudomonadota; Gammaproteobacteria; Enterobacterales; Enterobacteriaceae.
GGUUAAGCGACUAAGCGUACACGGUGGAUGCCCUGGCAGUCAGAGGCGAUGAAGGACGUGCUAAUCUGCGAAAAGCGUCGGUAAGGUGAUAUGAACCGUUAUAACCGGCGAUGUCCGAAUGGGGAAACCCAGUGCAAUUCGUUGCACUAUCGUUAACUGAAUACAUAGGUUAACGAGGCGAACCGGGGGAACUGAAACAUCUAAGUACCCCGAGGAAAAGAAAUCAACCGAGAUUCCCCCAGUAGCGGCGAGCGAACGGGGAGCAGCCCAGAGUCUGAAUCAGCUUGUGUGUUAGUGGAACGGUCUGGAAAGUCCGACGGUACAGGGUGAUAGUCCCGUACACCAAAAUGCACAGGCUGUGAACUCGAAGAGUAGGGCGGGACACGUGGUAUCCUGUCUGAAUAUGGGGGGACCAUCCUCCAAGGCUAAAUACUCCUGACUGACCGAUAGUGAACCAGUACCGUGAGGGAAAGGCGAAAAGAACCCCGGCGAGGGGAGUGAAAAAGAACCUGAAACCGUGUACGUACAAGCAGUGGGAGCACCUUCGGGUGUGACUGCGUACCUUUUGUAUAAUGGGUCAGCGACUUAUAUUCUGUAGCAAGGUUAACCGUAUAGGGGAGCCGCAGGGAAACCGAGUCUUAACUGGGCGUUAAGUUGCAGGGUAUAGACCCGAAACCCGGUGAUCUAGCCAUGGGCAGGUUGAAGGUUGGGUAACACUAACUGGAGGACCGAACCGACUAAUGUUGAAAAAUUAGCGGAUGACUUGUGGCUGGGGGUGAAAGGCCAAUCAAACCGGGAGAUAGCUGGUUCUCCCCGAAAGCUAUUUAGGUAGCGCCUCGUGAAUUCAUCUUCGGGGGUAGAGCACUGUUUCGGCUAGGGGGUCAUCCCGACUUACCAACCCGAUGCAAACUACGAAUACCGAAGAAUGUUAUCACGGGAGACACACGGCGGGUGCUAACGUCCGUCGUGAAGAGGGAAACAACCCAGACCGCCAGCUAAGGUCCCAAAGUCAUGGUUAAGUGGGAAACGAUGUGGGAAGGCACAGACAGCCAGGAUGUUGGCUUAGAAGCAGCCAUCAUUUAAAGAAAGCGUAAUAGCUCACUGGUCGAGUCGGCCUGCGCGGAAGAUGUAACGGGGCUAAACCAUGCACCGAAGCUGCGGCAGCGACACUAUGUGUUGUUGGGUAGGGGAGCGUUCUGUAAGCCUGCGAAGGUGACCUGUGAGGGUUGCUGGAGGUAUCAGAAGUGCGAAUGCUGACAUAAGUAACGAUAAAGCGGGUGAAAAGCCCGCUCGCCGGAAGACCAAGGGUUCCUGUCCAACGUUAAUCGGGGCAGGGUGAGUCGACCCCUAAGGCGAGGCCGAAAGGCGUAGUCGAUGGGAAACAGGUUAAUAUUCCUGUACUUGGUGUUACUGCGAAGGGGGGACGGAGAAGGCUAUGUUAGCCGGGCGACGGUUGUCCCGGUUUAAGCAUGUAGGCUGGUUAUCCAGGCAAAUCCGGAUAAUCAAGGCUGAGGUGUGAUGACGAGGCACUACGGUGCUGAAGUAACAAAUGCCCUGCUUCCAGGAAAAGCCUCUAAGCAUCAGGUAACAUCAAAUCGUACCCCAAACCGACACAGGUGGUCAGGUAGAGAAUACCAAGGCGCUUGAGAGAACUCGGGUGAAGGAACUAGGCAAAAUGGUGCCGUAACUUCGGGAGAAGGCACGCUGGUGUGUAGGUGAAGUCCCUGCGGAUGGAGCUGAGACCAGUCGAAGAUACCAGCUGGCUGCAACUGUUUAUUAAAAACACAGCACUGUGCAAACACGAAAGUGGACGUAUACGGUGUGACGCCUGCCCGGUGCCGGAAGGUUAAUUGAUGGG